Molecule: non-coding RNA, 29 nt
Filed under: Mus musculus (house mouse)
Lineage: Eukaryota; Metazoa; Chordata; Mammalia; Rodentia; Muridae
Source: RNAcentral
UGCAAGUUCAUAAAUGUAGCCAGGGUAAA